GUGGAGACCAAGCGUGAAGCCCAAGGAUCGGGAUGACGUGAAGAGUUGCCCACAUUUACCUGGAAGCAGUGGGGCUCAUCCAGGAGGCUGGGGUGCAAUGGCCAAACCCGCACAUUCCGCUGGGCACCCAGCCGUUUGAGCAACCCCUACGGAGAGAGGGGUGUCAGCUGAGCAGAACCCUGUGCUCCCACUUCAGCUCCUUCUCCCUCAGGGUGUCCUGGAGGAUCUGCUAUUCUUGGAGGACCACAGACUCAGGCUGUAUUAGCGUGAAUAAUAAAGGCCACCACUAGCUCCCAUUUUAAAAGCA
Molecule: long non-coding RNA, 307 nt
Organism: Myotis myotis
Lineage: Eukaryota; Metazoa; Chordata; Mammalia; Chiroptera; Vespertilionidae
Exons: 2
Source: RefSeq, a predicted model, not a curated record